RNAcentral lists this ribosomal RNA (574 nucleotides) under uncultured Pleosporales. Its description in RNAcentral is "eukaryotic LSU rRNA". The stretch from base 205 to 358 matches the Rfam family "5.8S ribosomal RNA". The record is from RNAcentral. Lineage: Eukaryota; Fungi; Ascomycota; Dothideomycetes; Pleosporales.
AGGUGACCUGCGGAGGAUCAUUAUCGUGGGGCUUCGGCCCCGUCGAGAUUGCACCCUUGCCUUUAUGAGUACCUUGGUUCCCUCCCCCGUACCUCCGGGGAGCGGGAGGGGCCUUGUCUGUUUUCCCCGCGGCGGUGAGAGCCCCCGGGGACCGGAAACACGCUGUAACACCUGUAACUGUCUGAUAAACAAACAAAAAAUCAAAACUUUCAACAACGGAUCUCUUGGUUCUGGCAUCGAUGAAGAACGCAGCGAAAUGCGAUAAGUAGUGUGAAUUGCACAAUUCAGUGAAUCAUCUAAUCUUUGAACGCACAUUGCGCCCUUUGGUAUUCCUUAGGGCAUGCCUGUUCGAGCGUCAUUUAACCCUUCAAGCCCUGCUUGGUGUUGGGUGCCUGUCCCGCCUCCGCGCGUGGACUCACCUCAAAUCCAUUGGCGGCCCCCGCACGGCCACGACCGCAACAAAAACUCAAACUCGUGUGCCGGACCGGGCGGCUCCCAAAAGCUACUCUCCCCAUUUUGACCUCGGAUCAGGUAGGGAUACCCGCUGAACUUACCCAUAUCAAUAACCGCAGGA